This 331-nucleotide ribosomal RNA is filed under the name uncultured bacterium. RNAcentral describes it as "partial 16S ribosomal RNA". It matches the Rfam family "Bacterial small subunit ribosomal RNA", at positions 338 to 666 of the family's 1533-position model. The record is from RNAcentral.
CCUACGGGUGGCAGCAGUGAGGAAUAUUGGUCAAUGGACGCAAGUCUGAACCAGCCAUGCCGCGUGCAGGAAGACGGCUCUCUGAGUUGUAAACUGCUUUUGUACGAGGGUAAACGCAGAUACGCGUAUCUGUCUGAAAGUAUCGUCCGAAUAAGGAUCGGCAAACUCCGUGCCAGCAGCCGCGGUAAUACGGAGGAUUCAAUCGUUCUACGGAUUUAGUGGUGUAAAGGGGUGCGUAGGCGGUCGGAAAAGUUAGAGGUGAACUCCCGCGGCUCAACUUGGGAAUUUCUUCUGGUACGUUUCGGCUAGAGAGUAGAGGCGGUAGGCGGAA